This 371-nucleotide ribosomal RNA is filed under the name uncultured eukaryote. RNAcentral's name for it is "SSU rRNA". It matches the Rfam family "Eukaryotic small subunit ribosomal RNA", at positions 592 to 957 of the family's 1831-position model. The record is from RNAcentral.
CAAUAGCGUAUAUUAAAAUUGUUGCGGUUAAAAAGACUCGUAGUUGGAGUUCUGCCAGGUGCCGCCUGUCCGCCCCAGUGGUGAGUACGUGGCGCGCAUUUGGCCCUUUCAAGGGGAGCGUAUCUGCACUUUAUUGUGUGGUGCGGGAUCCUUGACUUUUACUUUGAGGAAAUAGGAGUGUUCCAAGCAGGCUCUCGUCGUGCACAGCUCAGCAUGGAAUAAUAGCAUUGGACCUCGAUUCUAAGCUGUUGGUUGCCAGAAGCGAGGUAAUGAUAGAAGAGGGAUAGGUUGGGGGCAUUCGUUAUUUAACUGUCAGAGGUAGAAAUUUCUUGGUAUUUAGUUAAAGGACGGACUACUGACGAAAGCUAUUU